AUGAACGCUAGCUACAGGCUUAACACCUGCAAGUCGAGGGGCAGCAUGGUCUUAGCUUGCUAAGGCCGAUGGCGACCGGCGCACGGGUGAGUAACACGUAUCCAACCUGCCGUCUACUCUUGGACAGCCUUCUGAAAGGAAGAUUAAUACAAGAUGGCAUCAUGAGUCCGCAUGUUCACAUGAUUAAAGGUAUUCCGGUAGACGAUGGGGAUGCGUUCCAUUAGAUAGUAGGCGGGGUAACGGCCCACCUAGUCUUCGAUGGAUAGGGGUUCUGAGAGGAAGGUCCCCCACAUUGGAACUGAGACACGGUCCAAACUCCUACGGGAGGCAGCAGUGAGGAAUAUUGAUCAAUGGGCGCAGGCCUGAACCAGCCAAGUAGCGUGAAGGAUGACUGCCCUAUGGGUUGUAAACUUCUUUUAUAAAGGAAUAAAGUCGGGUAUGUAUACCCGUUUGCAUGUACUUUAUGAAUAAGGAUCGGCUAACUCCGUG
RNAcentral lists this ribosomal RNA (489 nucleotides) under uncultured bacterium. Its description in RNAcentral is "partial 16S ribosomal RNA". It matches the Rfam family "Bacterial small subunit ribosomal RNA", at positions 29 to 507 of the family's 1533-position model. The record is from RNAcentral.